This 771-nucleotide long non-coding RNA is filed under the name Coturnix japonica (Japanese quail). RNAcentral describes it as "lncRNA (ENSCJPG00005019666.1)". The record is from RNAcentral. Lineage: Eukaryota; Metazoa; Chordata; Aves; Galliformes; Phasianidae.
AAAAGUCAUUUCAAACUGCUUGCUUAACACUAAUGACCUGCUUGGUUUAACAGUUUUCAGCGUGUAAAUCCAAUAAGAAAGAAAAACAAACCUGCUUUAAUGGAGGUGUUGAGCACAUCUGUGUAUGGCUGAUGUCCCUGAGGAUAAAGAUGUACUAUUGCUUUCUUUUGUAGUGUGAUUGCUCCUGAAUGUGUUAUUAGCCAAACAUUAUAUUUGAGAAAUACAAAUAAAUAGAUCAUUUUUAGUAUGGAAAUCUUUUCCCUUCCUUUGUGCAAUGGAGCAUAUUAUUUGCCUUACCUCAAAGCUUCAUACAAUUUAGCUGAGAGGCAUACUUUUUUGAGGAUUUUUUGUUAUCCUUCUCUUUCUGAAUAUAAAAUAUGUAUUAAAACUGAGGUCAUGUCUUAAUUUGUUGAGUUAACCAUCCCAACAGAACUAUGAUUAAUGCAUAACUUCCUGCCAGUUAACUGGGGUACCAUUUCAUGAUGUGAUCAUCUGUUUUGGUAUAAUCCACAGACCUAUAAUUUGUAAGGCAGAGUUUGAAACAGUUUGCACAGAGUAAUCUGCAAAUGGCUUCCUGUGCACUAAAGAAAGGAAGGCCUUGUUGCAAGGCUCUGCUUGGAUAUGAUGAUGAUGAACAGAAAAACAUCACUACAGUCAGAAGCAGGUUGGAAACCAGAGUGCUGACACAGGGAGUUCCUGAUACAAUCUGUGGCAGGGAGCAAGCCAAAAAGCUAUCUGUAGAUGUGCUGGUAUUCCUUUGUGAGAAGUUGG